CUGCGCUGCAAGUGGCAAUCGCGAUUAUUGGGCCUAAAGCGUCCGUAGCCGGAUAGGCAAGUCUUUGGGUAAAUCCUACGUCUUAAGCGUGGGAAUUCUAAAGAUACUACCUGUCUUGAGGCCGGGAGGGGCUAGAGGUACUCCUGGGGUAGGGGUAAAAUCCUAUAAUCCCAGGGGGACCACCGAUGGCGAAGGCAUCUAGCUGGAACGGGCCUGACGGUGAGGGACGAAACCCAGGGGAGCGAACCGGAUUAGAUACCCGAGUAGUCC
RNAcentral lists this ribosomal RNA (270 nucleotides) under uncultured archaeon. RNAcentral's name for it is "partial 16S ribosomal RNA". It matches the Rfam family "Archaeal small subunit ribosomal RNA", at positions 477 to 747 of the family's 1478-position model. The record is from RNAcentral.